This 256-nucleotide ribosomal RNA is filed under the name uncultured bacterium. RNAcentral describes it as "partial small subunit ribosomal RNA". It matches the Rfam family "Bacterial small subunit ribosomal RNA", at positions 26 to 285 of the family's 1533-position model. The record is from RNAcentral.
AGGACGAACGCUGGCGGCGUGCUUAACACAUGCAAGUCGAACGGAAAGGCCCUUCGGGGUACUCGAGUGGCGAACGGGUGAGUAACACGUGGGUGAUCUGCCCUGCACUUUGGGAUAAGCCUGGGAAACUGGGUCUAAUACCGAAUACACCUCACCGGCUGCAUGGUUGGUGGGGGAAAGCUUUUGCGGUGUGGGAUGGGCCCGCGGCCUAUCAGCUUGUUGGUGAGGUUACGGCUUACCAAGGCGACGAAGGGUA